AACGGGGGGAGCUAGCGUUACUCGGAAUAAUUGGCGUAAAGGGUGCGUAGGUUGUAUUUAUUUACAUAUGUUUAAAGAUAAUAGGUGUAACCUUUUAGAGAAUGUAUCUGAUUAUAAUACUGGAGUUUAAAAGAGGAAAGUCGUACUUUUAGUGGAAAGGUAGAAUUUGUCAUAUAUUAAGGGGACGGUCAUUAGGUGUAGGCACUGUCUAUAGUAAAACUAACGCUCAAGCACUAAAGUAUGGGGGAUCAAAUAGGAUUAGAGACCCUAGUAGUCCAUACCCUGACCGAUGAGUGUUGAAUAUGAGAAAUUUUUUUUGUAUUUAAGCUAACGCUUAAACACUCCGCCUGGGCAGUACGAUCGCAAGGUUGAAACUCAAAG
RNAcentral lists this ribosomal RNA (381 nucleotides) under uncultured eukaryote. Its description in RNAcentral is "mitochondrial SSU rRNA". It matches the Rfam family "Bacterial small subunit ribosomal RNA", at positions 524 to 906 of the family's 1533-position model. The record is from RNAcentral.